UUAGAGUAUUUCCAACAGGGUUAGUGAUUCCCUCUUGCUAAGAUGUGUCACUAUUCAGUUGGGGAGUGUUAUCAUCAAGUGGAUUUGAUGUCCCACCUAUAGUUCCUUGAGUAUUCUUCAUUCGUCGUGGAGGCAUAUUGACCUAUGAUAAAUUGGGAUGAUAACUUAUCCUUAAUAAAGUUAUAAACUUACUUAAAGUAGGUCACAUCAUAAUCAUCAUAAACUAACCUCUAAAUUUUUCUAAUAUUUAUCCAUCACUCACUCA
Molecule: long non-coding RNA, 265 nt
Filed under: Elaeis guineensis (African oil palm)
Lineage: Eukaryota; Viridiplantae; Streptophyta; Magnoliopsida; Arecales; Arecaceae
Description: long non-coding RNA (EGUI_LNC004585)
Source: RNAcentral